This 59-nucleotide transfer RNA is filed under the name Lithobius maqinensis. RNAcentral describes it as "tRNA-Phe". Lineage: Eukaryota; Metazoa; Arthropoda; Chilopoda; Lithobiomorpha; Lithobiidae. The record is from RNAcentral.
GAUUACAUAGUUUAAUAAAAAUAUAAUAUUGAAGAUAUUAGGAUGUAUUUCUGUUCUAG